RNAcentral lists this ribosomal RNA (166 nucleotides) under Trichoderma harzianum. Its description in RNAcentral is "5.8S ribosomal RNA". It matches the Rfam family "5.8S ribosomal RNA". From Rfam's summary of the family: 5.8S ribosomal RNA (5.8S rRNA) is a component of the large subunit of the eukaryotic ribosome. The record is from RNAcentral. Lineage: Eukaryota; Fungi; Ascomycota; Sordariomycetes; Hypocreales; Hypocreaceae.
AUGAAUCAAAACUUUCAACAACGGAUCUCUUGGUUCUGGCAUCGAUGAAAAACGCAGCGAAAUGCGAUAAGUAAUGUGAAUUGCAAAAUUCAGUGAAUCAUCGAAUCUUUGAACGCACAUUGCGCCCGCCAGUAUUCUGGCGGGCAUGCCUGUCCGAGCGUCAUUU